AAGUCGUAACAAGGUUUCCGUAGGUGAACCUGCGGAAGGAUCAUUAACACAUCCUUUUCCAAAUAAUCAACGCGUGCACCUAACGAACCGCACCGGAGGAGGCUUAGGAGUUAUGCAUGGAUUCCCUACUGCUUCGGCGAGGGACUGGCUCCUAGGCUGUUCGUCCGCCCGAUGAACUUGUUCAUCACGGCGAGGCGAUGCUCUGACUUGGUCGGUGACUGACAGCCUCUUUGCAUGGCUGGCCCUUUUUUUUUCUUCUACCUUUCAAAUCUUCGAAAUGCUAGGCGCUGCUUUGCUUUC
Molecule: unclassified non-coding RNA, 300 nt
Filed under: Phylloporus sp.
Lineage: Eukaryota; Fungi; Basidiomycota; Agaricomycetes; Boletales; Boletaceae
Description: partial contains small subunit ribosomal RNA and internal transcribed spacer 1
Rfam family: Eukaryotic small subunit ribosomal RNA (bases 1-46)
Source: RNAcentral